UACGAAGGGGGCUAGCGUUGCUCGGAAUCACUGGGCGUAAAGCGCACGUAGGCGGCUUUCUAAGUCAGGGGUGAAAUCCUGGAGCUCAACUCCAGAACUGCCUUUGAUACUGGAGAGCUUGAGUCCGGGAGAGGUGAGUGGAACUCCGAGUGUAGAGGUGAAAUUCGUAGAUAUUCGCAAGAACACCAGUGGCGAAGGCGGCUGACUGGUCCGGUUCUGACGCUGAGGCGCGAAAGCGUGGGGAGCAAACAGG
This 253-nucleotide ribosomal RNA is filed under the name uncultured bacterium. Its description in RNAcentral is "partial 16S ribosomal RNA". It matches the Rfam family "Bacterial small subunit ribosomal RNA", at positions 524 to 776 of the family's 1533-position model. The record is from RNAcentral.